Molecule: ribosomal RNA, 467 nt
Filed under: uncultured bacterium
Lineage: Bacteria
Description: partial 16S ribosomal RNA
Rfam family: Bacterial small subunit ribosomal RNA
Source: RNAcentral
GACGAACGCUGGCGGCGUGCUUAACACAUGCAAGUCGAACGGAAAGGCCCUGCUUUUGUGGGGUGCUCGAGUGGCGAACGGGUGAGUAACACGUGAGUAACCUGCCCUUGACUUUGGGAUAACUUCAGGAAACUGGGGCUAAUACCGGAUAGGAGCUCCUGCUGCAUGGUGGGGGUUGGAAAGUUUCGGCGGUUGGGGAUGGACUCGCGGCUUAUCAGCUUGUUGGUGGGGUAGUGGCUUACCAAGGCUUUGACGGGUAGCCGGCCUGAGAGGGUGACCGGCAACAUUGGAACUGAGAUACGGCCCAGACUCCUACGGGAGGCAGCAGUGGGGAAUAUUGAACAAUGGCCGGAAGCCUGAUGCAGCAACGCCGCGUGCGGGAUGACGGCAUUCGGGUUGAAAACGGCUUUCGCCUGUGACGAAGCGGAAGUGACGGUAAUGGUAAAGAAGCACCGGCUAACUACGUG